AUUCAUCAGAGGAAGAGGAAGUGGACUUGCAGACGGCCCUCACAGGCUUUCAGACCAAACAGAGGAAAGUUCUGGAGCCGGUUGAUCAUCAGAAGAUCGAGUACGAAUCCUUCCGCAAGAACUUCUAUGUGGAGGUGCCAGAGCUGUUCAGGAUGAGCCCUGAAGAGGUGAACGAGUACCGUCUGGAGCUGGAGGGAAUCACCGUCAAAGGCAAAGGCUGUCCGAAGCCCAUCAAGACGUGGGUGCAGUGUGGGAUAUCCAUGAAAGUGCUGAACGCGAUGAAGAAACACAACUAUGAGAAGCCGACCCCGAUCCAGGCCCAGGCCAUCCCAGC
Sinocyclocheilus rhinocerous is the source of this 334-nucleotide long non-coding RNA. RefSeq lists it as uncharacterized. The transcript has 3 exons. The record is from RefSeq and is a predicted model, not a curated record. NCBI's taxonomy places the organism in Eukaryota, Metazoa, Chordata, Actinopteri, Cypriniformes, Cyprinidae.